CAGAGGGUGCGAACGUUGCUCGGAAUUACUGGGCGUAAAGCGCGUGUAGGCGGGUCGGCAAGUCAGGCGUGAAAUCCCCAGGCUCAACCUGGGAACUGCGCUUGAAACUGCCGGUCUUGAGUAUCGGAGAGGGUGGCGGAAUUCCUGGUGUAGAGGUGAAAUCCGUAGAUAUCAGGAGGAACACCGGUGGCGAAGGCGGCCACCUGGACGAUUACUGACGCUGAGACGCGAAAGCGUGGGGAGCAAACAGGAUUAGAUACCCUGGUAGUCCACGCCGUAAACGAUGGGUGCUAGGUGUCUCGGGUAUUGACCCCUGAGGUGCCGUAGCUAACGCGUUAAGCACCCCGCCUGGGAAGUACGGCCGCAAGGCUA
This 372-nucleotide ribosomal RNA is filed under the name uncultured organism. RNAcentral describes it as "bacterial SSU rRNA". It matches the Rfam family "Bacterial small subunit ribosomal RNA", at positions 526 to 896 of the family's 1533-position model. The record is from RNAcentral.